RNAcentral lists this transfer RNA (65 nucleotides) under Ptenopus garrulus (Whistling gecko). RNAcentral's name for it is "tRNA-Lys". The record is from RNAcentral. Lineage: Eukaryota; Metazoa; Chordata; Lepidosauria; Squamata; Gekkonidae.
CUUUGAGUAGCUAAGCAGCGGCGGCCUUUUAAGCCGACGAUGGGAACACCACCACCCCUCAGAGC